RNAcentral lists this ribosomal RNA (424 nucleotides) under uncultured Nitrosospira sp. Its description in RNAcentral is "bacterial SSU rRNA". It matches the Rfam family "Bacterial small subunit ribosomal RNA", at positions 202 to 622 of the family's 1533-position model. Lineage: Bacteria; Pseudomonadati; Pseudomonadota; Betaproteobacteria; Nitrosomonadales; Nitrosomonadaceae. The record is from RNAcentral.
AAAGACCUUAUGCUUCUGGAGCGGCCGAUGUCUGACUAGCUAGUUGGUGAGGUAAAUGCUUACCAAGGCGACGAUCAGUAGUUGGCCUGAGAGGGCGACCAGCCACACUGGGACUGAGGCACGGCCCAGACUCCUACGGGAGGCAGCAGUGGGGAAUUUUGGACAAUGGGCGCAAGCCUGAUCCAGCAAUGCCGUGUGAGUGAAGAAGGCCUUCGGGUUGUAAAGCUCUUUCAGUUGAGAAGAAAAGGUUGCGGUUAAUACUCACAAUCCAUGACGGUAUCGACAGAAGAAGCACCGGCUAACUACGUGCCAGCAGCCGCGGUAAUACGUAGGGUGCGAGCGUUAAUCGGAAUUACUGUGCGUAAAGGGUGCGCAGGCGGUUCUGUAAGUCAGAUGUGAAAUCGCCGGGCUUAACCUGGGGGUU